GACGAACGCUGGCGGCGUGCUUAACACAUGCAAGUCGAACGGUGAAGCGCCUUCCUUUUUGGUGGGUGUGGAUGAGUGGCGAACGGGUGAGUAACACGUGAGUAACCUGCCCCCUUCUUCUGGAUAACCGCAUGAAAGUGUGGCUAAUACGGGAUAUUCUGGGUCUGUCGCAUGAUGGGUCUGGGAAAGAUAUUGUUUCGGUGGGGGAUGGGCUCGCGGCCUAUCAGCUUGUUGGUGGGGUGAUGGCCUACCAAGGCGGUGACGGGUAGCCGGCCUGAGAGGGUGGACGGGCACACUGGGACUGAGACACGGCCCAGACUCCUACGGGAGGCAGCAGUCGGGAAUAUGGCACAAUGGGCGCAAGCCUGAUGCAGCGACGCCGCGUGAGGGAUGGAGGCCUUCGGGUUGUGAACCUCUUUCGCCAGUGAAGCAGGCCUGCCUCGUUUGUGGGUGGGUUGACGGUAGCUGGAUAAGAAGCGCCGGCUAACUACGUG
This 494-nucleotide ribosomal RNA is filed under the name uncultured bacterium. Its description in RNAcentral is "partial 16S ribosomal RNA". It matches the Rfam family "Bacterial small subunit ribosomal RNA", at positions 28 to 507 of the family's 1533-position model. The record is from RNAcentral.